Molecule: transfer RNA, 69 nt
Filed under: Brachylophus bulabula
Lineage: Eukaryota; Metazoa; Chordata; Lepidosauria; Squamata; Iguanidae
Description: tRNA-Ser
Source: RNAcentral
GACCUGCUAAUUCUUGUCACUAAAGUUAAACCCCUUAGACCUCUCACUUUUAAAGGAUACUAGACAAUC